This 429-nucleotide ribosomal RNA is filed under the name bacterium. RNAcentral describes it as "partial 16S ribosomal RNA". It matches the Rfam family "Bacterial small subunit ribosomal RNA", at positions 355 to 776 of the family's 1533-position model. The record is from RNAcentral.
UAGGGAAUCUUCCACAAUGGACGCAAGUCUGAUGGAGCAACGCCGCGUGAGUGAAGAAGGUUUUCGGAUCGUAAAGCUCUGUUGUUGGUGAAGAAGGAUAGAGGCAGUAACUGGUCUUUAUUUGACGGUAAUCAACCAGAAAGUCACGGCUAACUACGUGCCAGCAGCCGCGGUAAUACGUAGGUGGCAAGCGUUGUCCGGAUUUAUUGGGCGUAAAGCGAGCGCAGGCGGAAUGAUAAGUCUGAUGUGAAAGCCCACGGCUCAACCGUGGAACUGCAUCGGAAACUGUCAUUCUUGAGUGCAGAAGAGGAGAGUGGAAUUCCAUGUGUAGCGGUGGAAUGCGUAGAUAUAUGGAAGACCACCAGUGGCGAAGGCGGCUCUCUGGUCCGCAACUGACGCUGAGGCUCGAAAGCAGGGGUAGCGAACAGG